This is a small nucleolar RNA of Nymphaea colorata (pocket water lily), 78 nucleotides long. The record is from RefSeq and is a predicted model, not a curated record. NCBI's taxonomy places the organism in Eukaryota, Viridiplantae, Streptophyta, Magnoliopsida, Nymphaeales, Nymphaeaceae.
CUGAGUGAUGAAAAACAGGGGUUGAUCCUGAUUGGCUUGCAAAUGAAGUUCCAAAAGACCGCCCCAAAUUUGCAGGAU